AACCUUAUGGACCUGCGGGCGUAUACCUGCGGAAGGAUCAUUACUGAGUGAGGGCCUUCGGGCUCGACCUCCAACCCUUUGUGAACACAACUUGUUGCUUCGGGGGCGACCCUGCCGUUUCGACGGCGAGCGCCCCCGGAGGCCUUCAAACACUGCAUCUUUGCGUCGGAGUUUAAGUAAAUUAAACAAAACUUUUAGCAACGGAUCU
RNAcentral lists this unclassified non-coding RNA (208 nucleotides) under soil metagenome. RNAcentral describes it as "partial contains 5.8S ribosomal RNA, internal transcribed spacer 2, and large subunit ribosomal RNA". The record is from RNAcentral.